CAGGCCUCUUCCCAGUAAAACUUUCUAUGUGAAGAGGGCUUUGUAAAUCUGAGAUGUCUGGACUUCAUCCUGGAAGCACAGACCUGUCAAAGAACCUAGAAGAAAAAAAGAGAAAAGUUUUUGCCCCUUCAACGUAUGUACCACAUAUUGUUAUCCAUGCAUUCAUUGAUGAAGAGUUGGGUUGCUUCCACGUUUUGGCUAUUUGAGAAGAAUACUGCUGUGAAUGAAAUCCAUGCUGUAAGGCAUCAGUUUUGAAGCUGAAUUUGGGAGGGAAAGGCUGGGGGUAGAAUGACAUUCCCUGGUUAGAGGUGGCAAAACCUCAAUUUCAGGUUGUUGGGAAUGGAAGAAGAAGACUGUAGGUAAGCAAUUGACAAGAACUUGGUGCCUAGUUGACCAUAAGAAAAGGUGGAGUUUGCAAUCUGGAUGGUUCCCUUUUAAGGUAUCUCCAGACUUUGGGAUGCCUGAGGCUUAUCCAAGUUUAGGGUCAUCCUUGAGAGAAAAAGAACAAAAAACAAUGAAUAAAAAGUGGAGUGCGGGGUUCUGAAAAGGGUCUUGGGGUGUGAGGGGCUCUUAUACAUCUGCGGGAGAGGCACAUGCGCAAUGGGCAUCAUUUUAUUUGGCCUGCCAGCAUCGUUUUCUUUUGGAGCUAUGCAUCUUUCCUCUCUCAGCUCCUGUGGUGCCAAGGAAGUUGUCUACUCACCUCCCACACAGUCUCAGGAGUGUGACCUACACCUGCCAAUCAGAGCUGUGAUUGCUGUGGAGGUGGGCAGGUGACCCAAAUCAGGCCAGCAAGACUCAGUCCUGGAACUUUAGCUGGAAUUGUUGGGAAACAGUUCACUUUUCUGUUAUGUUCUCUUUUUCUGUUGUGGUUGAUGAGCGAUCAGGAUGUAAGCCUAGACCUUCUGAACCUCCGGCGGUGAAUUUGACAUAAAGGGAGAAAAAUCAACAGAAGGAAAGAAGAAUGUGAAAAUACUGCCUUGUGAUACUUUUGACUGAGUCCCUGAAUCCAGGCAUGCCUAAAGCUAGAUCUACUCUAGCAUGUUCUGUCACAGGAAAUAAUUGAGCCCAUUUUUUGUCUAAGUUAUAGUUAGUUUUCUGUUGUAGCCAAAAUACUCAGCUUCCAUAUCUUUUCAUUAAAAAGCAAUCCAUCAGGCCCCACUAGGGUCAAAUGCCUCCUUGAACCUAAUAAAUAUGCCUAGGGAAUAGGGUAAACCCUUUAAAAAGUCUGCCACAUGUCUGCCGCUGGUGGGGAAGGAGGAGACUGUGUGAUUGAUAAACCGACAGUAUCACAGGGAGGAGUGGUGGGCACUCUCCAAAAGGAGAUGUGCAGGGUAUCUAAAAAGAAAAAAAAAUACAUAAAUAAGGGAGCAGAUAUGCCUUGGAAGAGUGAUUUCUGAUUCUUGAGGGAUCUAGGAAAUUGGUUUGCCCCAAAUCAUCCUAAAGCAAGCCUGCUUUCAAAUUUCAGCUCUAUUUUAUAUUAAUCAUCUGCUUUUGGCCAAGUUGUGUAAUCUUUCUCACUGAAUCCUAGUUUCUGACGGUAAAAAUGGGAAUAGAUAGUAUCUAUCAGUACAGGGUUGUUUGUGAGUGAUGCUUGUAAGUGAGGUGACCAUGUGGAGAACUACACAGGGACAAUCUUGAAAGUGAAAAGGAACACAAUUAAGGAGACUUAUUAGGACUGUCUGAGACAAAAAUUAUUAGCAAAACCCCCCUUUCAUUCUCAAGUGUCCCUAUCCUGUGCUAAAUUAUAUGGUCUUGCUGCCCAUAAUGCACCUCUGAUAGUGCUUAACACACAGUAGGUGCUUAAAAGUCUCAGCCUCCUUUGAGCCUUCGCGGGUCCCUCUGUCUUAAACAUAACUGACUGAUUCUUUCAUAGUUCUUUGUAAUUCUCUAACUUUGUGGAUUUACAAAGUGUAUUCUUGAAGAUGUUUGUUACUAUUGCCCUGGUGGCAAGAUACAUGACAAUAUGAUUCACAGAUUCAUAUCUGUGAAAGAUGCCUUUCUUACAAUUCCCCACCAACUGCUUUUAA
Manis javanica (Malayan pangolin) is the source of this 2027-nucleotide non-coding RNA. NCBI's taxonomy places the organism in Eukaryota, Metazoa, Chordata, Mammalia, Pholidota, Manidae. The record is from RefSeq and is a predicted model, not a curated record.